AACAGAUUUAAAAUGGCAAGCUCAAUAAUUUUACCCUAACAAAAAAUGAGGGACUUUCUGGUCUCCAUAUUCUCAUAAAUAAAAGUUGCAUUCCAUGAGGAGAAAACAAAAAAACCCAUCACAGUGAACAAUUGAAUUGCUCCGUGGACAUCAUGCCUUUCUAAGCAAGCAUUGAAUAUAGGAGAUGUAUUUAUGAUAACCA
This 202-nucleotide long non-coding RNA is filed under the name Homo sapiens (human). RNAcentral describes it as "non-protein coding lnc-CSRNP3-10:1". Lineage: Eukaryota; Metazoa; Chordata; Mammalia; Primates; Hominidae. The record is from RNAcentral.